Long non-coding RNA from Homo sapiens (human), 1288 nucleotides. RefSeq lists it as uncharacterized. The record is from RefSeq and is a predicted model, not a curated record. The transcript has 2 exons. Lineage: Eukaryota; Metazoa; Chordata; Mammalia; Primates; Hominidae.
UGGAGGGAACCAACUCCAGACACAACAGUGCACUGGAUCUUGCCGCUGUGGCUGUCCUGGAGUUUCCGAGCCUACUCUGGCUUGGGAGGCCGCCCGAGUUGCACAUCUUUCAUUGCUUGAUGAAACUCCUUUAAAUUUAAUUCGGCUGAAGUUUUUCUUUUAUCAUGUGUAAUGUCAAAAUAUCCAGUUGGAAAGGGGAAAAAACGACGAUCCUCAAGAAGGCGGUUCGGGCAACACCAAGCCUCCAGCAGUGGGAAGAUCAAUGUCAAGGUGAUUGAUGAAUUUCCCUUUUUUAUUCGGAUGUUUUGAAGUCAGAUAGGAACUGACAGAAAGUGAGAUUGGUGGGCAAUUUUCUGGAAAUGAAAUCUAGAAGUUGGACUAGAUCAUGGAGUCUAGCUUGAGAGCCUCCGGAAAAUAGGCCUCCAUGUAAUCUAAAAGUAAAGCUGGCCCAUACAGAGAUGAAAGGCUGGCAAGAGCCUGGGAAGUCUUUGAAAGGGAGGAUUUUUAAAUUUAGGUAGCAGGAAGGGAAUGAUGAUGUCACAGCUAAGAUCAGACAGCCCUCGAAGUAGAACCUACAGGUGAAAUAUGGAAGGGGAGAUGGUGUUCAGGAGGCUUCAGUGGCCUAUGGGGAACAGGAAAGGAAUGAGACAUAAAGGGGAGUUUUUAAAAGUUUGAAGUCUUAUUUUUCACCUGUGGUCUAAGACAGAAUUUAAAAUCUGUUUGGAAUAAAGUACAGAUGAAGAACAAAUCAAAUUUGUCUACAAUAGAAUGUUCGUAAUUAAGGAGAAGUCAGAAUUUUGUAUAAUAGGAAUAGGAAUGGAGGGAAAGGGGACCAGUUCUGUUGACCAUGCUUUGCAGAUAAGGGCGUCUCGGUCACCAAUUUGCAAAAAGUCACCCGGGGAACUUGUUGAAUGAGGAUUUUGAUUCAAUAUGUCUGGGAUGGAGCCAGAGAGUCUGCAUUUCUAAUUAUCUCCCAGAUGACAUCAACGCUGCUUUGGGUGGCAAGGCUCUACAGCAGGGAUUUCCACAACUGAAUUCACGAAAGUCCCUUAGUAACUCUGAUAUGCAGCAGGAUUUUGGAACUGGAGCUAUUGAAAAGCUCAUUGAAGAUUAAUUAAUGCAAGAACCAGAGGAAUCAGGACAGUAUUGAAGCUUCUUCAAGCAAAACGUUUUAUUUCCAGCAGCAUGUGGAAAAACAUAUUGUAGAUGUCUGUAUAAAAUAUCUCAAACAGCCAUCAGAAAUUUGGGAUGUAAUGUUUUUAAUAAACCAUAGAAUGCCUGUUUUAAA